RNAcentral lists this microRNA precursor (183 nucleotides) under Linum usitatissimum (flax). The record is from RNAcentral. Lineage: Eukaryota; Viridiplantae; Streptophyta; Magnoliopsida; Malpighiales; Linaceae.
UGAUUUUGCGAAGUAGAACAUAGGCCUGAGAUGAAGACGGAGAGAGCGUGGUUCAGCCAAGGAUGACUUGCCGGACGGCUAGCUCCGGUUGUCAGCUCCAUCGUCGGCAAGUUGUUCUUGGCUACAUUGCGCUCACUUGUUCUCAUUUCAGACCUCUCUAUGUUCUCCCAUUUGGCAACUUCA